UGGAACGGGGAAUCACACGUGGACGUG
RNAcentral lists this small RNA (27 nucleotides) under Bombyx mori (domestic silkworm). RNAcentral's name for it is "ovarian small RNA-34440". Lineage: Eukaryota; Metazoa; Arthropoda; Insecta; Lepidoptera; Bombycidae. The record is from RNAcentral.